This 1101-nucleotide ribosomal RNA is filed under the name uncultured organism. RNAcentral's name for it is "bacterial SSU rRNA". It matches the Rfam family "Bacterial small subunit ribosomal RNA", at positions 316 to 1401 of the family's 1533-position model. The record is from RNAcentral.
GGACUGAGACACUGCCCAGACUCCUACGGGAGGCUGCAGCGACGAAUAUUGCACAAUGGGCGAAAGCCUGAUGCAGCGACGCCGCGUGUGGGAGGAAGCCCUUCGGGGUGUAAACCACUGUCAGGGACUAACAAGCGACCGAGACGAAUAGUCUCGGAAGUUGAGUAAUCCCAGAGGAAGUCACGGCUAACUUCGUGCCAGCAGCCGCGGUAAGACGAAGGUGGCAAGCGUUGUUCGGAAUCACUGGGCUUAAAGAGCAUGUAGGCGGACUGCCAAGCACUUUGUGAAAUCCCUCGGCUCAACCGAGGAAUUGCUUGGUGAACUGGUAGUCUUGAGGCAGGUAGGGGCACCACGGAACUCUUGGUGGAGCGGUGGAAUGCGUAGAUAUCAAGAGGAACGCCAGAGGCGAAGGCGGUGUGCUGGGCCUGACCUGACGCUGAGAUGCGAAAGCCAGGGGAGCGAACGGGAUUAGAUACCCCGGUAGUCCUGGCCCUAAACGAUGUCCACUAGGUCUGAGGUGUUCUGACACACCUCUGGCCGAAACAAAAGCGUUAAGUGGACCGCCUGGGGACUACGGUCGCAAGGCUAAAACUCAAAGGAAUUGACGGGGGCUCACACAAGCGGUGGAGCAUGUUGCUUAAUUCGAUGCAACGCGAAGAACCUUAUCCUGGGCUUGACAUGUAGGAAUACCUCCCUGGAAACAGGGCUGGUUGCCCUUCGGGGUGAAGCCUACACAGGUGCUGCAUGGCUGUCGUCAGCUCGUGUCGUGAGAUGUUGGGUUAAGUCCCGUAACGAGCGAAACCCUUGUCGUUAGUUGCCAACGCGUUAUGGCGGGGACUCUAGCGGGACUGCCGGUGUUAAACCGGAGGAAGGUGGGGAUGACGUCAAGUCCUCAUGGCCUUUAUGCCCAGGGCUGCAAACGUGCUACAAUGGCGUGUACAAACCGACGCAAGACCGCGAGGUGGAGCAAAUCGGAAAAAGCACGCCCCAGUUCGGAUUGGAGUCUGCAACUCGACUCCAUGAAGUCGGAAUCGCUAGUAAUCGCGGAUCAGCAUGCCGCGGUGAAUGUGUUCCUGAGCAUUGUACACACCGCCCGUCAAG